RNAcentral lists this ribosomal RNA (252 nucleotides) under uncultured Bacteroidota bacterium. RNAcentral's name for it is "uncultured Bacteroidetes bacterium partial 16S ribosomal RNA". It matches the Rfam family "Bacterial small subunit ribosomal RNA", at positions 526 to 777 of the family's 1533-position model. Lineage: Bacteria; Pseudomonadati; Bacteroidota. The record is from RNAcentral.
CGGAGGAUGCGAGCGUUAUCCGGAUUUAUUGGGUUUAAAGGGUGCGUAGGCGGAUUAAUAAGUCAGUGGUGAAAACCUUCAGCUUAACUGGAGAACUGCCAUUGAUACUGUUAGUCUUGAGUACGGUCAAGGUAGGCGGAAUGUGUAAUGUAGCGGUGAAAUGCUUAGAUAUUACACAGAACACCGAUUGCGAAGGCAGCUUACUGGGCCAUUACUGACGCUGAUGCACGAAAGCGUGGGGAGCGAACAGGA